RNAcentral lists this small nucleolar RNA (107 nucleotides) under Trametes cinnabarina. RNAcentral describes it as "Pycnoporus cinnabarinus Small nucleolar RNA Z13/snr52". It matches the Rfam family "Small nucleolar RNA Z13/snr52". From Rfam's summary of the family: Z13 or snr52 is a member of the C/D class of snoRNA which contain the C (UGAUGA) and D (CUGA) box motifs. Most of the members of the box C/D family function in directing site-specific 2'-O-methylation of substrate RNAs. Lineage: Eukaryota; Fungi; Basidiomycota; Agaricomycetes; Polyporales; Polyporaceae. The record is from Rfam by way of RNAcentral.
CUCUUGCGUAUGAUGAAACCAUUAACGGAUGUAACGAGCAAUGCUCGAUUGUCCGAGAGCGCUUAAAGUCGUGUGGAUAACCCGUUGCCUUCCUUCUGACUACACGC